Molecule: ribosomal RNA, 256 nt
Filed under: uncultured bacterium
Lineage: Bacteria
Description: partial 16S ribosomal RNA
Rfam family: Bacterial small subunit ribosomal RNA
Source: RNAcentral
GACGAGCCACCCGAACGUUAUUCGGAAUUACUGGGCUUAAAGGGUGCGUAGGCGGUGCAGCAAGUCGGGAGUGAAUACCUCAGCUUAACUGAGGAGCUGCUUUCGAUACUGCUGUGCUUGAGUGAGACAGAGGUAAGCGGAACUUAGGGUGGAGCGGUGAAAUGCGUUGAUAUCCUAAGGAACACCGGUGGCGAAGGCGGCUACUGGGUCUCUACGUGACGCUGAGGCACGAAAGCCAAGGGCUGAGCAAACGGGG